GUGGGGAAUCUUCCGCAAUGGACGAAAGUCUGACGGAGCGACGCCGCGUGAGUGAAGAAGGCCUUCGGGUCGUAAAGCUCUGUCAUCAGGGACGAACGGCCGGUGGAGUGGAAAGCCACCGGAUUGACGGUACCUGAGAAGGAAGCCACGGCUAACUACGUGCCAGCAGCCGCGGUAAUACGUAGGUGGCAAGCGUUGUCCGGAAUUAUUGGGCGUAAAGCGCGCGCAGGUGGGAUCUUAAGUCCAUUUUGAAAGUUCGGGGCUCAACUCCGUGAUGGGAUGGAAACUGGGAUUCUUGAGUACCGGAGAGGAAAGAGGAAUUCCCCGUGUAGCGGUGAAAUGCGUAGAUAUGGGGAGGAACACCAGUGGCGAAGGCGGCUUUCUGGACGGUGUCUGACACUGAGGCGCGAAAGCUAGGGGAGCGAACGGGAUUAGAUACCCUUGUAGUCC
RNAcentral lists this ribosomal RNA (450 nucleotides) under uncultured bacterium. RNAcentral describes it as "partial 16S ribosomal RNA". It matches the Rfam family "Bacterial small subunit ribosomal RNA", at positions 354 to 796 of the family's 1533-position model. The record is from RNAcentral.